Molecule: long non-coding RNA, 501 nt
Filed under: Marmota monax (woodchuck)
Lineage: Eukaryota; Metazoa; Chordata; Mammalia; Rodentia; Sciuridae
Source: RNAcentral
CAUUUGUAAAUCUAAGUUGUUGCUUUCCAAAUGCACUGGGUUCUGAUUUAAUGGACAGUAUAAAAUAAUUUGAGCCUAGAGUUCCUUUGUGAACAUACUGACUACCAGUAGAGGUGUAGAUUGUAGGCUGUUUAAUGGUUUUGUCUGUUAUUCUAUCCUUUGGAUUAUAUUUGGUUGAUCCCUGUCCCUCUUCCCAUGAAUGUAUGUUUUAGCUUCUUUGUUCUAACUGAGUGGUUUUUGUUUUCAGUUUCUGCUGGGUUAUUACUAAACACUUGGGCUUCUUUUUUUUUAAUAUUUAUUUUUUGGGGUAGAUGGACACAACACAAAGCAUUUUAUUUUUUUUAUGUGGUGCUGAGGAUCGAACCCAGCGCCUCGCACGUGUUAGGCAAGUGCUCUACCGCUAAGCCACAACUCCAGUCACUAUGUUUUAGCUUCUUUGAAUGCCUGUUAAUUUUAAGUUAGGUGCCAGGCAUUAUGAAUUUUACCUCACUAGAUAUAUCU